RNAcentral lists this ribosomal RNA (502 nucleotides) under uncultured bacterium. Its description in RNAcentral is "partial 16S ribosomal RNA". It matches the Rfam family "Bacterial small subunit ribosomal RNA", at positions 28 to 523 of the family's 1533-position model. The record is from RNAcentral.
GAUGAACGCUAGCGGCAGGCUUAAUACAUGCAAGUCGAGGGGCAGCGCAGUGUAGCAAUACAUGGGCGGCGACCGGCAAACGGGUGCGGAACACGUACGCAACCUUCCUUUAAGUGGGGGAUAGCCCAGGGAAACUUGGAUUAAUACCCCGUAAUAUUAUGAAGUGGCAUCACUUUAUACUUAUAGCUCCGGCGCUUAAAGAUGGGCGUGCGACUGAUUAGGUAGUUGGCGGGGUAACGGCCCACCAAGCCUGCAAUCAGUAACUGGUGUGAGAGCACGACCAGUCAAACGGGCACUGAGACACGGGCCCGACUCCUACGGGAGGCAGCAGUAAGGAAUAUUGGUCAAUGGACGCAAGUCUGAACCAGCCAUGCCGCGUGGAGGAUGAAGGUCCUCUGGAUUGUAAACUUCUUUUAUUUGGGAAGAAACCCACUGUUUCUACGGUGGUUGACGGUACCAGAUGAAUAAGCACCGGCUAACUCCGUGCCAGCCGCCGCGGUAA